AUAUUGGCUGUGAAGAGGAAUAGUAUAUACAGGACGAGCCACAGAGAGAGAAUUGAUUGGUGAAAGAUUCUUGCAAGAAGUGUAUGGAACCUACCUUGGAGCCACUGUGUGAAAAUGCAGCGUGACAUCAGCGUUAAUGAUGACUAAAGAGAAUUGUAGAGGAAUCUAUGAUUAAUUAGGGUGGUACCGCCGAGUCUUUCGGUCCCUUUU
RNAcentral lists this non-coding RNA (210 nucleotides) under Faecalimonas nexilis. RNAcentral's name for it is "Clostridium nexile T-box sequence". It matches the Rfam family "T-box leader". From Rfam's summary of the family: Uncharged tRNA acts as the effector for transcription antitermination of genes in the T-box leader family. T-boxes are found upstream of many aminoacyl-tRNA synthetase genes and some amino acid biosynthetic genes usually in Gram-positive bacteria. Lineage: Bacteria; Bacillati; Bacillota; Clostridia; Lachnospirales; Lachnospiraceae. The record is from RNAcentral.